This is an RNA transcript of Triticum aestivum (bread wheat), 4568 nucleotides long. RefSeq lists it as uncharacterized. Lineage: Eukaryota; Viridiplantae; Streptophyta; Magnoliopsida; Poales; Poaceae. The transcript has 7 exons. The record is from RefSeq and is a predicted model, not a curated record.
GGGUGAAACGUCGCGCAGGUGCGAAAGGAUUUUGGCCAAUCCUCUCCUCGCGCGCGGCGUGCUUCCAGUGGGUCGUGGAACCCUAGACCCCUUUCCCCAAUCCCACGGCUGCCUCCAUCCUCCCGUGCUCCACCCCGAGCGUGCCCAGGCUCCGCCUCCUCCUCCUCCUCCUCCUCCACCAUCCCUUCUCUUCUCACUCUUCCUCCUGUGGCGGCCGCCUCCUCUUCUCCCUAUCUUCCUCCUCCUCGCCCCACGCGACCCCUCUUGUGCCGCUCGUCUCCACUUCGUUGCCGCCAUAGAUCGAGGAGGACGGCGCGAUGACGACCAUGAUGCAUCAGACAUCCCAGAUCGACGACGCCAUGGAAGCCAUGAGAGCUGGCCGAGGAAGAGAGGGCAGGGCCGCAGGCCAUGAAGGGCAUGGCGGCUGCGGGCGGAAGCAGCAUGGGUUGAAGGAGCGGCGGAUGUGGGCGGGGUCAGAGGUUGGGGAAGACUCGUCGGCUGGGCGACAGGAAGCGCCGGUGAGUGCAAUCAUGCGUUUCCAGAAGCGUCCUAUCCUACAAGGCAGGCAAGGACGACGUCGUCGCCCUCGCAGGUUCUACGAUCUGUUGCAUCUCUUUUCUUCUCGUUAAGGAGAGGGGAGGCGGCCAAUGACAGGGAGAAGGAGCAGGCCGUCGAGGAGUGCAAGCAGAAGGUUUCCGGUGACUAGAAGUCUGAAUCUGAUGACAGGGCAUAUUGUUUUGGUUAUGAGUGGUUGGAGUUAUUGUGGCUUGAUGUCCUGGAGCAGUCAGACCCUUCCAAGAUAGGUCGAGCGACGGCGAGCACAUCCGACGGCAACACACCAAGCAAAAAAGAAGCAGGAGCAAAACGAAAGUGAGCACCAUAGAAAGGAUGAUUAUAAGCAAGCGACAAGAACAAGCCAAUGGGCAUGGCAUUUUCAAGCGACAAGAACAAGCCAAUGGGCAUGGCAUUUUAUGAAAAAUGAGCAGAGGUAAUGUAUUAUUGUAUUGGUCGAGACUUGAGGGUACUGUCUAAACAAAAUGUAUACAGUUGGCAAAGAAUUUAAUGUACAUACAUAGUACAUUAUGUGAUGUAUAAUGUUCAAUUGGCCUCCCAAUCAUAGUAUGGAUAUUUUCAAUAUGGGUGGCAUUCAGGCUUAGUUAGUUUCCUCUCAUUCUUGGCAUCAGAUGACAUCCAUAGGUGGGAUCCAUUUUCAUAUUAGUAUAUAGCCCUACUAUUUAAAUGGUUCCGAUUGAAUUUUUAUGCUAUGAAAUAAAUAAUUUCUCCAGCACCGGAUUUAUGUCGUCAUGGAUAUAUAUUAUUGGUCUUUUGGCCAAUAUAUAGGUAAAUGCAUCGUUACCAACUACUGGAAAAAGGUUUGUAUUCAGCAUGGUCAAUCUAAAUAGAUGAGCGAUGGAGAUGGAUAUUUCUAUGCUUUUUUAGAAGAUGCUCUGAAGUUAAUUGUUUGUGAUGGUUAUUUGUAAUGCGUUUUUUGAAAUAAAAUUGGUUCUUCGCUGUGAUUUUUUUAGACCUAGGUUCGUACAUUAUUGAUGUGUGCAUUGCUUAUGAAGAACACAGCCGCAGCUGAUGUAUUCAUGUGUCGUCCCUUCAUAUGGUACUAUAUUUAAAUGUUCCUGGCCACUGUAGCUGCUACUUAUCAACUUAUAAACAUUUGGUUUGCUCAUGUGUCUUAGAACAACUUUUUUAGCACCUGUAUGUGAAAUAAUAAGCGUAGCGUUCUCAUUUAUAGGACAUUUAUUAUUUUCAAUUUCAUGCUAGAAUGACUUUUGUUGUGCUAUUUAAAACAACCGUGUUGAUCUCAAUAACACAGGGAUACAUAGAGCUAGCCAGUGCAAGCUUCUGGCUUGGUUGCUGUAAACAUACUAAGGUCCCUACCAUAUGUGAAAAGAAGGAAAUGUUGGUGUUACCUGAUGCACCACUUUCCUUUCAUGAUGUUAUAGUUUGAACGGUUGCUCAUGGGUUUUGUCUCGUGCAGAGACCAGGCGUGGGACUGGUGCUUGGUAGCAACAGCGAUUCCUUCAGGCAUUUCGAUUCCAGUAACCACAAGUUCUAGGGAAGAUGUAUGUUUCCUACAAAGGGUUUGAGUUUGAGAGGCACAGAAGAAGUUACAAGUGUUGCAGCUUAUUUGUCUUUAUAGUGACAUGUAUCGACAAACGAUUGUUAUAUUCAGUAUGCUAGGGUGUGUCCUAUUUAUCAUGCAGAUUCUGUAUUAGGUGCUCGAUAGAGGUAACAAAAGCUAACAGAGAUCAGAAUAUAUUUUUACUUAUAUUUUUGUCUUUCUUUUAGUUCUGUGUAGUCUUUAUUUACCAUGUAAUGAUUAGUUUGAAUGCUUAUAGUGGUUAUACUUUCCCUAUAAAUUUGUUGGGUAGAUUAUAAUUCCGUUACUUGAUUUAGGACAGUAUAUGGUUCUAUGAUACAGGAUUUAGAGGAACAUAUAUGGGAUUUUGUUUUUCAGGUCACACUUGUCCCAUAUUCUGUUACUUUCCCUAUUGAUUUUAGCUUGCAAUUGAGUAAGAUGCAGGCUGGGAAUUCUCCCUUGUGUGUCAGAAUCUGAAGUAUUUGACCAUUUGGGUUCACUUCUAUCAUGUGUUGUAUCCUUCCUCUAUUUUGAGAUUUACUAGGCGCAUGCAGGUUAGUUGUUGUUUCAAACAUGUCAAUGAAAGGUAAUAAUGUUAAAAUUGGUUCCCCAAGGGCCAAGGUGGUGAUGAUCACUUUGUGCUUCUUUUCCUACUUGUUCUAAAAAUGAUUCUUCUAGGUGAUGUUGAUUUAGGUUUUUGUGGUCGUGUCAUACACCAAUUACCGUCGAGAUGGGUAAUGGUAUGAGAAUGGGGCUCCAAGGAUGUGAAAAUGGUCUGGAAGACAGAGUUAGCAGCGACAUGUGUCCUCAAGUAAUUUCUUGCCAAAGGUGAUGUGAAGGUUAGCUACUGUGAUCAAGGAAAUAACAUGUAUCUGUGUGGUUUGUUCCUGCUGUUGAUCGGCUGUUGCUGCGUUUAAGGUAUGUUGUGCCCGGUGCUACUUAAUGAUAUAUAAAACCUAUAGCUGUACAUAAAACGCCUUGAUAUGCAAAUAACCCAGUUAAAAUAAAUGGGUUGCGCCAUCUAGCAUUACAUGAUGACAUGCCAAACACUUUGCCACCUAGGAUAGUCUAUAUUUGUAUUUCAUUCAGUUAUCUCAUAUUUCCAGUAAAAAAACUCUUCGCUUUGGGGUUUUGGAAUAAUCUUCAGGAAGUUGGUGACGAGUUAGUAGAACUUAUAGAAAUUGUAGAAAAUAGCCCCUACGGAAUUACAAAGAGCGAGAAUAAGGAAGCCGGCAAACUUAGUGCUUCAUGGUAUUUCAGUAGAAAGGAAAUAGAAGAGAAUUCUCCGUCUAAGAGGGAUGGCAUUGAUUUAAAGAAAGAGAGUUACCUUCGGAAAUCGUAUUGCACUUAUCUACAAGAUUUGGGGAUGCGGCUCAAAGUGUAAGAUAUUUUAUGUCCUUCUAUGCAUUUAUCGAUACUGUAGCCUGUUGGCUGACUGUCCCUUACUUAUCCAAAAACAUUGAGUUAUGCUACUUACCCAACCAGAUGUUAAAUACUUCAAAAUGUGUCUUUAUAUGGUCAUUGUAUCGUAAUUGCUUCUCCUGAUGUGUUUUUGUUUUACACCAGCAUAUAUUUGGUCCAGAGAUAUUCAAUUGUUUGUCUGAUAAGAUAAUAUUUUACUUCUUUAUGGAGCACUCUUAUGGCAAGCACAUUUUUUCUGGAUGAACUGCUGGUUGGGUUUUUUCUCCAUAAAUACGAUAAAUUAUCAUAUCUAUGAAAUGUUAAGAUAUACUGAAAAUAUGCCCUGUAUGAUGGUGGUCUGGCAUUUUAGAAUUGUUUUGGGCAAUUCAUGUUUGUAUGCAUUUUUUCUUUUCGCCCUUGAAGGCAUCUUUAAUAGUUUGCAAUUGCGAUAGAAAUUUCUGUGCUCAUAUCUUUAGUUUUUAUUACAAUUGGUCGAGCUACAACGAGUGCGUCUGAUUCCAACUCAUCAAGGUGAGCUCCCUCUUUUAUUCUUCUCAGGUAAUGAGGCAUCGGUGUAGGCCCAAUCUUUUUGUUUGUUGCUUUGAAGAGUGUUGUCAUGUUGUGGAAAGGCAACAUGUGCUUGAUAUGUGGAGUUGGUGUUGAGCCUGGCGGUAGUAGACAGGGAAGGCACCCAUCUCACUUGAUCUUGAGAGUUGAUUCAUAUCUUUUUUUCUUGACCUGAUUGAGUUCCUAUAUAUGCAAGGAUAAAGAAGAAGGGGCAUUGUCGUGGUUGUUGCUUAAGGUGUAAGUCAGGAGCUGAUUGCCGGGACUGAUGACAAGAACGGAGAGCAGGAUGAGUAUGUCAACAUGAUGUUCCUUGAUGUUGGCCUUCUUUUAUAAAGUUCACAUGCAACUCUCCUCCAUGGUUAGAAAAAACUAAUUUGAACGUUUUGUUUCUUUGGUGGUUAUUCAUUUCUCUUACCAUUGAUGUAUCAAAACAAUUGUAUUUUCGUUGAUGGCCACUUGGGCUCAUUUUCGAGGAGAAUGAGAUGUGGAAUAAACUACUCUGAAA